RNAcentral lists this ribosomal RNA (254 nucleotides) under uncultured bacterium. RNAcentral describes it as "partial 16S ribosomal RNA". It matches the Rfam family "Bacterial small subunit ribosomal RNA", at positions 524 to 776 of the family's 1533-position model. The record is from RNAcentral.
UACAGAGGUGCCAAGCGUUGUUCGGAUUUAUUGGGCGUAAAGGGUGCGUAGGCGGUUAUGUAAGUCGGGUGUGAAAUUUCGGAGCCUAACUCCGAAACUGCAUUCGAAACUGCAUAGCUCGAGGUCUGGAGAGGUAAUUGGAAUUCUAGGUGUAGCAGUGAAAUGCGUAGAUAUCUAGAGGAACACCAGAGGCGAAAGCGGGUUGCUGGGCCGACACUGACGCUGACAGCGCGAAAGCUAGGGGAGCGAACGGG